CGACGUGAGUAACCUGCCUUGGAGUGGGGAAUAACACAUCGAAAGAUGUGCUAAUACCGCAUAAUGCAGUUGGGCCGCAUGGCUCUGACUGCCAAAGAUUUAUCGCUCUGAGAUGGACUCGCGUCUGAUUAGCUGGUUGGCGGGGUAACGGCCCACCAAGGCGACGAUCAGUAGCCGGACUGAGAGGUUGACCGGCCACAUUGGGACUGAGACACGGCCCAGACUCCUACGGAAGGCAGCAG
Molecule: ribosomal RNA, 242 nt
Filed under: uncultured bacterium
Lineage: Bacteria
Description: partial 16S ribosomal RNA
Rfam family: Bacterial small subunit ribosomal RNA
Source: RNAcentral